This 941-nucleotide ribosomal RNA is filed under the name Salmonella enterica. RNAcentral describes it as "partial 23S ribosomal RNA". It matches the Rfam family "Bacterial large subunit ribosomal RNA", at positions 819 to 1757 of the family's 2925-position model. RNAcentral also lists the same sequence under 1 other name. The record is from RNAcentral. Lineage: Bacteria; Pseudomonadati; Pseudomonadota; Gammaproteobacteria; Enterobacterales; Enterobacteriaceae.
GGGUGAAAGGCCAAUCAAACCGGGAGAUAGCUGGUUCUCCCCGAAAGCUAUUUAGGUAGCGCCUCGUGAAUUCAUCUCCGGGGGUAGAGCACUGUUUCGGCUAGGGGGCCAUCCCGGCUUACCAACCCGAUGCAAACUGCGAAUACCGGAGAAUGUUAUCACGGGAGACACACGGCGGGUGCUAACGUCCGUCGUGAAGAGGGAAACAACCCAGACCGCCAGCUAAGGUCCCAAAGUCAUGGUUAAGUGGGAAACGAUGUGGGAAGGCCCAGACAGCCAGGAUGUUGGCUUAGAAGCAGCCAUCAUUUAAAGAAAGCGUAAUAGCUCACUGGUCGAGUCGGCCUGCGCGGAAGAUGUAACGGGGCUAAACCAUGCACCGAAGCUGCGGCAGCGACGCUGAUGCGUUGUUGGGUAGGGGAGCGUUCUGUAAGCCUGUGAAGGUGGCCUGUGAGGGUUGCUGGAGGUAUCAGAAGUGCGAAUGCUGACAUAAGUAACGAUAAAGCGGGUGAAAAGCCCGCUCGCCGGAAGACCAAGGGUUCCUGUCCAACGUUAAUCGGGGCAGGGUGAGUCGACCCCUAAGGCGAGGCCGAAAGGCGUAGUCGAUGGGAAACGGGUUAAUAUUCCCGUACUUGGUGUUACUGCGAAGGGGGGACGGAGAAGGCUAUGUUGGCCGGGCGACGGUUGUCCCGGUUUAAGCGUGUAGGUGUGUGUUCCAGGUAAAUCCGGUUCACUUUAACACUGAGGCGUGAUGACGAGGCACUACGGUGCUGAAGCAACAAAUGCCCUGCUUCCAGGAAAAGCCUCUAAGCAUCAGGUAACAUCAAAUCGUACCCCAAACCGACACAGGUGGUCAGGUAGAGAAUACCAAGGCGCUUGAGAGAACUCGGGUGAAGGAACUAGGCAAAAUGGUGCCGUAACUUCGGGAGAAGGCACGCUGACAC